AGAAACAUAACCUCCUCCUCCUCAUCAGAUCGCGGCUAUUCCUGACUAGCGCUUUCUGGUCGACCUUCUCACUUGUUCUGUAUGACUUCUUAAAAAUCAUUCUGUUAGUUCUGGUGUGGUGUCGUUAGGAUAAUUGUUUCGCUCUGUUCUUUUCUGCUUAAAUAUUAAUGAUACUGAGGAAUUCAAAAGAUAGCUCCAAUAAUGGUAGCUGUACAAAAACAAAGGUGGUUUUGCUGACACUACCCCACCCUACUCCCAGGGCAUCUCUCCACUUUGGAGUGACCAAGGAUCUGCACAUCGCUACAGCACACCUCCCGUGUCCUGCACUGGGAAGUGAGAAGAAACUCAGGUCACUUGGAGCAUCCAGGCAUGAACACGUUGGUAUUAGUAAAAUGUGCUUAAACCUAAUACAUGCUUUGAUCUCCUCCCUUCAUUGCCUACCUUGGUAAAUUUUUCUAUGAUGUGUUUACUAUUCUGUGCAUGAAAUAGCAAUGUCUAACCUCUAUGCAAGGUUAGAUAGCAAGGAAUUAAAAAAAGGUCCCAGUAUGUGGAAGAGCUCUUGCUCUGCCAAGUGAAUCUCACACAGGCUGCUCUCAGUGAUGACCAG
This 607-nucleotide long non-coding RNA is filed under the name Gallus gallus (chicken). Its description in RNAcentral is "lncRNA (ENSGALG00010025255.1)". Lineage: Eukaryota; Metazoa; Chordata; Aves; Galliformes; Phasianidae. The record is from RNAcentral.